UGUAGGUUUACUAGAUUAUGUCAGUUUAUUUUCUAUCAGUCAAACUUUCAAGUUCAACUUGAUAGGCAUCAGUUCCUUCUCUAAGGAACUCCUUUCCAAAAGGAAUGCCCUACUGUUGAUGAGCAUCUUAUGUUCUUCAGUAUGAUAGAAUUAGUAACCCUUAAACACCUAUUGGAUCAAGAACCAAGUUUAUCUGUAUGCAAACCUU
RNAcentral lists this long non-coding RNA (208 nucleotides) under Elaeis guineensis (African oil palm). RNAcentral describes it as "long non-coding RNA (EGUI_LNC047431)". The record is from RNAcentral. Lineage: Eukaryota; Viridiplantae; Streptophyta; Magnoliopsida; Arecales; Arecaceae.